RNAcentral lists this transfer RNA (371 nucleotides) under Paraburkholderia caribensis. RNAcentral describes it as "tRNA-Leu". The record is from RNAcentral. Lineage: Bacteria; Pseudomonadati; Pseudomonadota; Betaproteobacteria; Burkholderiales; Burkholderiaceae.
GCCGGGGUGAUGAAAUUGGUAAACAUAGCGGACUUAAAGCAUUGAGUGCCCAGCCGGAAACGGCCGGUGCAGAACCCUUCAAAUUCGGCGAAACCCCUGAAUGCACGCGUCCAGACUCGUGCGACGAGGCAACGCCGAGCCAAGCCCGUUUUCUUUCCUGCCGAUGCGGGACGGAAGGCGCGGAAGGUGUAGAGACUAGACGGGGGGCGCCUUAGGCGAUGGGCGUGCAAUACGCGCAUCGCGAUGGCGAAGGCAUAGUCCAGCGCACGAACGUUUGCUUUUCUGGUUGAAGCAGACGGCGUCGAAAGACGUAGUGUGACGAAAAUCCGCCGCUUAACAGCUUGCCGGUUCGAGUCCGGUCCCCGGCACCA